Long non-coding RNA from Engraulis encrasicolus (European anchovy), 500 nucleotides. RefSeq lists it as uncharacterized. The record is from RefSeq and is a predicted model, not a curated record. Lineage: Eukaryota; Metazoa; Chordata; Actinopteri; Clupeiformes; Engraulidae. The transcript has 3 exons.
UCCCACUGAUUAGCAUAACCAACGAGGCGGAAGUUUGUUUAGUCUGAAAUAAUCAGACACAGAUCUCAAGAGCAAUUGUUGAUAUCGUUGCUACGGUAACUGCAGCUGGCGUUUACUGACGAGUGGAAUGACUGAAGGUUGCAUAUACCUCUAUUGCUUACCCAUUUUUAUGAAAACAUUGUUUUUAAUUGUUUAUUUCAUGGGCGAACUUGUUGAGAUUCGCAGACAGCAGAUGAGGAAUAAAUUGCUGAUCGGCGGCCCUUGUACGGAGGUUGUCACACACAGCCAACGAAACCACAUGGGCAACAUGGAAGAGGAAAAAUCAGGCAUACUGCAUAUCGGCAGUUGGUGAGAUGGCGUGGGAGUUCGUAGGCUAUGUUUGGGUUCCACUGCAAUCCUGUGCCGUCACAAAGAUCUGGCAGAUCUUUAAAUCCACACAUCGUACAGGUUUCCAGGAUGUGAUUUAUUUGUGGCAAAUAAAAGACAGUACACCUGAAUCA